CUUUCAUUCACAUUUAAAUCGCCAGGGAACUACGAGCAAAGCUUAAAACCCAAAGGACUUGACGGUACCCCAUAUCCCCCUAGAGGAGCCUGUCCUAUAAUCGAUAAUCCACGUUCAACCUCACCAUCUUUAGUUAAUCAGCCUGUAUACCUCCGUCGUCAGCUUACCACGUGAGCGCAAAUUAGUGAGCCCAAUGUCACUUCACCAGUACGUCAGGUCAAGGUGCAGCAAAUGAGAUGGGAAGAGAUGGGCUACAUUUUCUAAAAUAGAAAAAACGAAAAACUACCUAUGAAAUCUAGUUAGAAGGCGGAUUUAGCAGUAAAAAGGAAUCAGCAUGACCAUUUUAACAAGGCACUGGGGUGUGUACACACCGCCCGUCACCCUCUUCAAAGCCACUAACACAGUUUUUAACAAAUUAUGCACAAU
Molecule: ribosomal RNA, 426 nt
Filed under: Sigalegalephrynus minangkabauensis
Lineage: Eukaryota; Metazoa; Chordata; Amphibia; Anura; Bufonidae
Description: partial 12S ribosomal RNA
Rfam family: Bacterial small subunit ribosomal RNA
Source: RNAcentral